Myotis davidii is the source of this 75-nucleotide non-coding RNA. Lineage: Eukaryota; Metazoa; Chordata; Mammalia; Chiroptera; Vespertilionidae. The record is from Rfam.
GGUGGUUCUCAGGUGAUGCAUCCCAGAAUCAGGCUUCCUCCUCUCUGGUUCCGGGUGCAUCACCCGAGAACCGCA